AUUGAACGCUGGCGGCAGGCCUAACACAUGCAAGUCGAGCGGUAGAGAGGUGCUUGCAUCUCUUGAGAGCGGCGGACGGGUGAGUAAUGCCUAGGAAUCUGCCUAGUGGUGGGGGAUAACGUUCGGAAACGGACGCUAAUACCGCAUACGUCCUACGGGAGAAAGCGGGGGAUCUUCGGACCUCGCGCCAUUAGAUGAGCCUAGGUCGGAUUAGCUAGUUGGUGAGGUAAAGGCUCACCAAGGCGACGAUCCAUAGCUGGUCUGAGAGGAUGAUCAGCCACACUGGGACUGAGACACGGCCCAGACUCCUACGGGAGGCAGCAGUGGGGAAUAUUGGACAAUGGGCGAAAGCCUGAUCCAGCAAUGCCGCGUGAGUGAUGAAGGCCUUAGGGUUGUAAACUGCUUUUGUACGGAACGAAACGGUGAGCUCUAAUACAGUUUGCUAAUGACGGUACCGUAAGAAUAAGCA
RNAcentral lists this ribosomal RNA (469 nucleotides) under uncultured bacterium. Its description in RNAcentral is "bacterial SSU rRNA". It matches the Rfam family "Bacterial small subunit ribosomal RNA", at positions 30 to 492 of the family's 1533-position model. The record is from RNAcentral.